RNAcentral lists this non-coding RNA (98 nucleotides) under Staphylococcus massiliensis. Its description in RNAcentral is "SAM-I sequence". It matches the Rfam family "SAM riboswitch aptamer (S box leader)". From Rfam's summary of the family: The SAM riboswitch is found upstream of a number of genes which code for proteins involved in methionine or cysteine biosynthesis in Gram-positive bacteria. The SAM riboswitch acts at the level of transcription termination control. The record is from RNAcentral. Lineage: Bacteria; Bacillati; Bacillota; Bacilli; Caryophanales; Staphylococcaceae. RNAcentral also lists the same sequence under 1 other name.
UGCUUAUUAAGAGAAGUGGAGGGACUUGGCCCGAUGAGACUUCAGCAACCGAUCUCAAGACACGGUGCUACAACCAACGUUCAUUCGAUUGAUAAGUC